AAUCAAUGUCGUUAGCAGCUAAGAUUCAACAGGAAACGCCAGAGCAAGCGUUCCUGAAGUAUGCAGAAAUGACGCCAGCCGAGCGGUUAUUUGCUUCGAUGCUUGGACAGCUCGGCAUAACACAAGAUCAAUUCAAGUCGAUGAGUCCUGCCGAUCAGCAGAAAGUGGUGCAAAGGAUUCAGGAUCAGGCUCAGAAAGACAGAAACAAGACCGGGCUUGUUUUGGACAAAUCGAUUUAAUCACUGCGUGGAUCCG
RNAcentral lists this unclassified non-coding RNA (255 nucleotides) under Hevea brasiliensis (rubber tree). The record is from RNAcentral. Lineage: Eukaryota; Viridiplantae; Streptophyta; Magnoliopsida; Malpighiales; Euphorbiaceae.